UUAUAAGGUAUCUGCACCUGAAUAAAAUAGGGUGUAAGAAGCGAACGCAGGGAACUGAAACAUCUAAGUACCUGCAGGAAAGGACAUCAACCGAGACUCCGCAAGUAGUGGCGAGCGAACGCGGACCAGGCCAGUGGCAAUUGUGAUUAAAGUGGAACGCUCUGGAAAGUGCGGCCGUAGUGGGUGACAGCCCCGUACGCGUAGAUAUCAUGAUUGUCCUAGAGUAGGGCGGGACACGAGAAAUCCUGUCUGAACAUGGGGAGACCACUCUCCAAGCCUAAGUACUCGUGCAUGACCGAUAGCGAACAAGUACCGUGAGGGAAAGGUGAAAAGCACCCCGACAAGGGGAGUGAAAUAGAACCUGAAACCGGAUGCCUACAAACAGUCGGAGCCCGCAAGGGUGACGGCGUACCUUUUGUAUAAUGGGUCAACGACUUAGUGUAACAAGCAAGCUUAAGCCGGUAGGUGUAGGCGCAGCGAAAGCGAGUCUGAAUAGGGCGAUAUAGUUUGUUGCAUUAGACCCGAAACCGAGUGAUCUAGCCAUGAGCAGGUUGAAGGUUGGGUAACACCAACUGGAGGACCGAACCCGCAUCUGUUGCAAUAGAUUGGGAUGACUUGUGGCUAGGGGUGAAAGGCCAAUCAAACUCGGAAAUAGCUGGUUCUCCGCGAAAUCUAUUUAGGUAGAGCGUCGAGCGAAUACCCCCGGGGGUAGAGCACUGGAUGGGCUAUGGGGACUCACCGUCUUACUGAUCCUAACCAAACUCCGAAUACCGGGGAGUACUACUCGGCAGACACACGGCGGGUGCUAACGUCCGUCGUGAAAAGGGCAACAACCCUAACCUCCAGCUAAGGUCCCCAAGUCAUGGCUAAGUGGGAAAGGAUGUGAGGAUCCCAAAACAACCAGGAUGUUGGCUUAGAAGCAGCCAUCAUUUAAAGAAAGCGUAACAGCUCACUGGUCUAAAUAAGGGUCUUUGCGCCGAAAAUGUAACGGGGCUGAAGCCAUGCACCGAAGCUGAGGAUGUGUAGCAAUACACGUGGUAGCGGAGCGUUCCGUAAGCUGAUGAAGGGAGACCCGUGAGGGCUCCUGGAGGUAUCGGAAGUGCGAAUGUUGACAUGAGUAACGAUAAAGAGGGUGAGAGACCCUCUCGCCGAAAGACCAAGGGUUCCUGCUUAAAGUUAAUCUGAGCAGGGUUAGCCGGCCCCUAAGACGAGGCGGACACGCGUAGUCGAUGGGAACCACGUUAAUAUUCGUGGGCCUGGUGGUAGUGACGGAUU
This 1275-nucleotide ribosomal RNA is filed under the name Rhizobium aethiopicum. RNAcentral's name for it is "bacterial LSU rRNA". It matches the Rfam family "Bacterial large subunit ribosomal RNA", at positions 141 to 1463 of the family's 2925-position model. Lineage: Bacteria; Pseudomonadati; Pseudomonadota; Alphaproteobacteria; Hyphomicrobiales; Rhizobiaceae. The record is from RNAcentral.